Molecule: ribosomal RNA, 292 nt
Filed under: uncultured bacterium
Lineage: Bacteria
Description: partial 16S ribosomal RNA
Rfam family: Bacterial small subunit ribosomal RNA
Source: RNAcentral
GUUACAGCAGCCGCGGUAAGACAGAGGGUGCAAACGUUGUUCGGAUUUACUGGGCGUAAAGCGCGUGUAGGCGGCUUGGCAAGUCGGAUGUGAAAGCCCACGGCUCAACCGUGGAAGCGCAUCCGAAACUGCUUCGCUUGAGUCUCGGAGAGGAAGGUGGAAUGCUUGGUGUAGAGGUGAAAUUCGUAGAUAUCAAGCAGAACACCUGCGGCGAAGGCGGCCUUCUGGACGAUGACUGACGCUGAGACGCGAAAGCGUGGGGAGCAAACAGGAUUAGAAACCCGCGUAGUCC